GGAGGUGCUGGGGUUGUCGCUGACUUUUCAAAGGGUCGUGCACACCUCGGUGCUCUCGUACAAAAUCCAUCUCACCCCUUUKGKGMWUMMCCSSGGGGGRMCCCYUUUKGGYUAGUYYKRAAGGGGGUUUYCMSKYUUUUAUACAAACACCCUUUUAAUGCAAUAUGUAGAAUGUCUUACUNUUUGCGAUCACACGCAAUUAAUACAACUUUCAACAACGGAUCUCUUGGCUCUCGCAUCGAUGAAGAACGCAGCGAAAUGCGAUACGUAAUGUGAAUUGCAGAAUUCAGUGAAUCAUCGAAUCUUUGAACGCACCUUGCGCCCUUUGGCAUUCCGAAGGGCACACCCGUUUGAGUGUCGUGACAUUCUCAAACCUUCUUGGUUUCUUGACCGGGAAGGCUUUGGACUUUGGAGGCUUUUGCUGGCAUUCCCUUGUUGAAGCCAGCUCCUCUGAAAUGAAUUAGUGGGGUCUGCUUUGCCAAUCCCUGACGUGAUAAGAUAUUUCUACGUCUUGGGUUUCGCAUCCGCAUCCCGCUUCUAACCGUCUCAUUAGAAGACAAUGGCCGAGUGAUUGCCACUCGACCCACGAACCUGACCUCA
Molecule: ribosomal RNA, 600 nt
Filed under: Russula insignis
Lineage: Eukaryota; Fungi; Basidiomycota; Agaricomycetes; Russulales; Russulaceae
Description: eukaryotic LSU rRNA
Source: RNAcentral